This 253-nucleotide ribosomal RNA is filed under the name uncultured bacterium. RNAcentral's name for it is "partial 16S ribosomal RNA". It matches the Rfam family "Bacterial small subunit ribosomal RNA", at positions 524 to 776 of the family's 1533-position model. The record is from RNAcentral.
UACGUAGGGUGCGAGCGUUAAUCGGAAUUACUGGGCGUAAAGCGUGCGCAGGCGGUUCGUUAAGUUCGUUGUGAAAGCCCCGGGCUCAACCUGGGAACUGCAAUGGAAACUGGCGGGCUUGAGUGUGGCAGAGGGGGGUGGAAUUCCGCGUGUAGCAGUGAAAUGCGUAGAGAUGCGGAGGAACACCGAUGGCGAAGGCAGCCCCCUGGGUCGACACUGACGCUCAGGCACGAAAGCGUGGGGAGCAAACAGG